RNAcentral lists this ribosomal RNA (497 nucleotides) under uncultured bacterium. RNAcentral describes it as "partial 16S ribosomal RNA". It matches the Rfam family "Bacterial small subunit ribosomal RNA", at positions 30 to 523 of the family's 1533-position model. The record is from RNAcentral.
AUUGAACGCUGGCGGCAUGCCUUACACAUGCAAGUCGAACGGUAACAGGUCUUCGGAUGCUGACGAGUGGCGAACGGGUGAGUAUACAUCGGAACGUGCCUAGUAGUGGGGGAUAACUACUCGAAAGAGUGGCUAAUACCGCAUGAGAUCUACGGAUGAAAGCAGGGGAUCGCAAGACCUUGUGCUACUAGAGCGGCCGAUGGCAGAUUAGGUAGUUGGUGGGAUAAAAGCUUACCAAGCCGACGAUCUGUAGCUGGUCUGAGAGGACGAUCAGCGACACUGAGACUGAGCCACGGCCCAGACUCCAACGGGAGGCAGCAGUGGGGAAUUUUGGACAAUGGGCGCAAGCCUGAUCCAGCAAGGCCGCGUGCAGGAUGAAGGCCUUCGGGUUGUAAACUGCUUUUGUACGGAGCGAAAAGCCCUGGGUUAAUACCCUGGGGUCAUGACGGUACCGUAAGAAUAAGCACCGGCUAACUACGUGCCAGCCGCCGCCGUAA